CCUACGGGAGGCAGCAGUGAGGAAUAUUGGUCAAUGGACGCAAGUCUGAACCAGCCAUGCCGCGUGCAGGAAGACGGCUCUAUGAGUUGUAAACUGCUUUUGUACGAGGGUAAACGCAGACCCGUGUAUGUGUCUGUAAGUAUCGUACGAAUAAGGCAUGGCCAACUCCGGGCCAGCAGCCGCGGUAAUACGGAGGAUUCAGGGGUUAUCCGGAUUUGUUGGGGUUAAAGGGGGCGUAGGCGGUGGGAUAAGUUAGAGGUGAAAACUCGGGGCUAAACUUCGGCAGUGCCUGUGAUACUGGUCGGCUAGAGAGUAGUUGCAGUAGGCGGAAUGUAUGGUGUAGCGGUGAAAUGCUUAGAGAUCAUACAGAACCCCGAUUGCGAAGGCAGCUUACCGGGCUACUACUGACGUUGAGGCACGAAAGCGUGGGUAGCGAACAGGAUUAGAUACCCGGGUAGUC
Molecule: ribosomal RNA, 460 nt
Filed under: uncultured bacterium
Lineage: Bacteria
Description: partial 16S ribosomal RNA
Rfam family: Bacterial small subunit ribosomal RNA
Source: RNAcentral